GGACCUGGCUGGCAAUGCACCUAAGUGUGGCUGUCUAUUGAGUGAGGAGGAGCUGAGAGCCUAAUUCACUUAUGUUUGAAGUAAUUAUUAAGGUCACAGGAGCUAAGGGUCAUCAUCGAGUGAAAUAUGUCAGAAAAGUUAAGUGAGGGAGGGUCUGGCUGCUGGGAAAACAAGUGGAGAGAACCAGUGGCCAUAGAAGGGAAAGAAGUUCUUGACUGAAGAUGACCACUGCGUAUUGGCCACCCUGAUUUGGCAGAUGGCCCAUGAUGUUGCAGAGAGAACAGCUGCACACACUAUACAUCUUGGCUGCACUGGAGCAGGCUUCUCGGGAAGGAGAAUUGGAUGCCAGAGCCCUUGAAUUGCACGAUAGCUGAUCUCGGAAGAAGAGGCGGUUGCCUCCACUCAGCCCCGCUCCAUCAAGCUCCUCACCUCUGUGCACAAGCCACCAGCCUUCCCUGGCAGGCUCUCACUUCUUCAGCCGGAUUGGGAUGCAGGCGCUGUUCUGAGCCUGCUCUUUGGGCAUGUUUUAUUUCCCACCGCUACGGCCAACCCAUCACUGAAUUUACUCUGAAAUGA
This 576-nucleotide long non-coding RNA is filed under the name Felis catus (domestic cat). Its description in RNAcentral is "lncRNA (ENSFCAG00000052470.1)". The record is from RNAcentral. Lineage: Eukaryota; Metazoa; Chordata; Mammalia; Carnivora; Felidae.